RNAcentral lists this ribosomal RNA (468 nucleotides) under uncultured bacterium. RNAcentral describes it as "partial 16S ribosomal RNA". It matches the Rfam family "Bacterial small subunit ribosomal RNA", at positions 28 to 507 of the family's 1533-position model. The record is from RNAcentral.
GACGAACGCUGGCGGCGUGCUUAACACAUGCAAGUCGAACGGAAAGGCCCUGCUUUUGUGGGGUUCUCGAGUGGCGAACGGGUGAGGAACACGUGAGUAACCUGCCCUUGACUUUGGGAUAACUUCAGGAAACUGGGGCUAAUACCGUAUAGGAGCUCCUGCUGCAUGGUGGGGGUUGGAAAGUUUCGGCGGGUGGGGAUGGACUCGCGGCUUACCAGCUUGUUGGUGGGGGGGUGGCUGACCAAGGCUUUGAAGGGUAGCCGGCCUGAGAGGGUGACCGGCCACAUUGGGACUGAGAUACGGCCCAGACUCCUACGGGAGGCAGCAGUGGGGAAUAUUGCACAAUGGGCGGAAGCCUGAUGCAGCAACGCCGCGUGCGGGAUGACGGCCUUCGGGUUGUAAACCGCUUUCGCCUGUGACGAAGCGUGAGUGACGGUAAUGGGUAAAGAAGCACCGGCUAACUACGUG